Molecule: ribosomal RNA, 490 nt
Filed under: Chilodus zunevei
Lineage: Eukaryota; Metazoa; Chordata; Actinopteri; Characiformes; Chilodontidae
Description: partial 16S ribosomal RNA
Rfam family: Bacterial large subunit ribosomal RNA
Source: RNAcentral
CAAAAACAUCGCCUCGUGCUAAAUCUUCGAAGUAUAGGAGGUCCUGCCUGCCCAGUGACUUCAUGUUAAAUGGCCGCGGUAUUUUGACCGUGCUAAGGUAGCGCAAUCACUUGUCUUUUAAAUGAAGACCCGUAUGAAUGGUGAAACGAGGGCUUAACUGUCUCCCUUCUUUGGUCAAUGAAAUUGAUCUGCCCGUGCAGAAGCGGGCAUAUUAAUACAAGACGAGAAGACCCUUUGGAGCUUAAGACAAAAAGCCAACUGUAUAAAAACCUACAUAAAAUGAAGUUUAACAAAACAGCCAUUUGGCCCACGUCUUCGGUUGGGGCGACCACGGAGUAAAACGAAACCUCCAUACAGAAUGGGAUUCCCUCUCAAACCAAGAGAUACAUCUCUAAGUCGCAGAACAUCUGACUAUAAGAUCCGGCUUAUAAAGCCGAUCAACGGACCAAGUUACCCUAGGGAUAACAUCGCAAUCCCCUUCAAAAGUCCC